GAGCGUUCUGUAAGCCUGCGAAGGUGUGCUGUGAGGCAUGCUGGAGGUAUCAGAAGUGCGAAUGCUGACAUAAGUAACGAUAAAGCGGGUGAAAAGCCCGCUCGCCGGAAGACCAAGGGUUCCUGUCCAACGUUAAUCGGGGCAGGGUGAGUCGACCCCUAAGGCGAGGCCGAAAGGCGUAGUCGAUGGGAAACAGGUUAAUAUUCCUGUACUUGGUGUUACUGCGAAGGGGGGACGGAGAAGGCUAUGUUGGCCGGGCGACGGUUGUCCCGGUUUAAGCGUGUAGGCUGGUUUUCCAGGCAAAUCCGGAAAAUCAAGGCUGAGGCGUGAUGACGAGGCACUACGGUGCUGAAGCAACAAAUGCCCUGCUUCCAGGAAAAGCCUCUAAGCAUCAGGUAACAUCAAAUCGUACCCCAAACCGACACAGGUGGUCAGGUAGAGAAUACCAAGGCGCUUGAGAGAACUCGGGUGAAGGAACUAGGCAAAAUGGUGCCGUAACUUCGGGAGAAGGCACGCUGAUAUGUAGGUGAAGCGACUUGCUCGUGGAGCUGAAAUCAGUCGAAGAUACCAGCUGGCUGCAACUGUUUAUUAAAAACACAGCACUGUGCAAACACGAAAGUGGACGUAUACGGUGUGACGCCUGCCCGGUGCCGGAAGGUUAAUUGAUGGGGUCAGCGCAAGCGAAGCUCUUGAUCGAAGCCCCGGUAAACGGCGGCCGUAACUAUAACGGUCCUAAGGUAGCGAAAUUCCUUGUCGGGUAAGUUCCGACCUGCACGAAUGGCGUAAUGAUGGCCAGGCUGUCUCCACCCGAGACUCAGUGAAAUUGAACUCGCUGUGAAGAUGCAGUGUACCCGCGGCAAGACGGAAAGACCCCGUGAACCUUUACUAUAGCUUGACACUGAACAUUGAGCCUUGAUGUGUAGGAUAGGUGGGAGGCUUGGAAGUGUGGACGCCAGUCUGCAUGGAGCCGACCUUGAAAUACCACCCUUUAAUGUUUGAUGUUCUAACGUUGACCCGUAAUCCGGGUUGCGGACAGUGUCUGGUGGGUAGUUUGACUGGGGCGGUCUCCUCCUAAAGAGUAACGGAGGAGCACGAAGGUUGGCUAAUCCUGGUCGGACAUCAGGAGGUUAGUGCAAUGGCAUAAGCCAGCUUGACUGCGAGCGUGACGGCGCGAGCAGGUGCGAAAGCAGGUCAUAGUGAUCCGGUGGUUCUGAAUGGAAGGGCCAUCGCUCAACGGAUAAAAGGUACUCCGGGGAUAACAGGCUGAUACCGCCCAAGAGUUCAUAUCGACGGCGGUGUUUGGCACCUCGAUGUCGGCUCAUCACAUCCUGGGGCUGAAGUAGGUCCCAAGGGUAUGG
This 1358-nucleotide ribosomal RNA is filed under the name Escherichia coli. RNAcentral describes it as "bacterial LSU rRNA". It matches the Rfam family "Bacterial large subunit ribosomal RNA", at positions 1234 to 2576 of the family's 2925-position model. Lineage: Bacteria; Pseudomonadati; Pseudomonadota; Gammaproteobacteria; Enterobacterales; Enterobacteriaceae. The record is from RNAcentral.